GACGAACGCUGGCGGCGUGCUUAACACAUGCAAGUCGAACGGAAAGGCCCUGCUUUUGUGGGGUGCUCGAGUGGCGAACGGGUGAGUAACACGUGAGUAACCUGCCCUUGACUUUGGGAUAACUUCAGGAAACUGGGGCUAAUACCGGAUAGGAGCUCCUGCUGCAUGGUGGGGGUUGGAAAGUUUCGGCGGUUGGGGAUGGACUCGCGGCUUAUCAGCUUGUUGGUGGGGUAGUGGCUUACCAAGGCUUUGACGGGUAGCCGGCCUGAGAGGGUGACCGGCCACAUUGGGACUGAGAUGCGGCCCAGACUCCUACGGGAGGCAGCAGUGGGGAAUAUUGCACAAUGGGCGGAGGCCUGAUGCAGCAACGCCGCGUGCGGGAUGACGGCCUUCGGGUUGUAAACCGCUUUCGCCUGUGACGAAGCGUGAGUGACGGUAAUGGGUAAAGAAGCACCGGCUAACUACGUG
Molecule: ribosomal RNA, 468 nt
Filed under: uncultured bacterium
Lineage: Bacteria
Description: partial 16S ribosomal RNA
Rfam family: Bacterial small subunit ribosomal RNA
Source: RNAcentral